UUAAGUGAUGCCGUGUGCAAGCGAAGGAGUUGAAAACUUUCCUUUAGCCUCGCGGAAGGCAAGGGGAGGCUGCUGCGUAGCGGGGUGCGCGCCGCGCAGCGGGCCGCGGCACGCGGCAAGGACGCGGGGCUUCGUCCUCAGGAUGCUCUGCGGGAACCCUUGACUCCUCUUUUCAAGUCACUUAGUUCAGACAGAAAAGCUAUUUUUCUUCCCGCUGAGAGCCGAGAUACUUCCCUCCCGCCGUGAAUCCCCAACCGGAGGCUCUAAGGGGCUCCUAACAUCCUUCCCGUUGGGGUCUUAAAGGAGAGAAAAAAACACCGAAACGGUGCUCAGAAGCCAGCUGUAAAGAGAGCGGCAGUAAACUCGGAGGCUCUCAUUAGAGGAAAAGCGCAGCGAAAAUCCGUCCAAAUCUUGUCAUCCGUCCGCUUUUAAAACGAUUGAUUCUCGACCGGUUACAAAUGAAAUUUAUCUUCGUCUCCUGAACGUGCCCGGCGCAGGCUUCGUCCCAGGAACUCAAACUGGAUUCUUGCCGUCGGCACUGUGAUUCCUCCCUGGCUGCUCCGAAGCACCCAAAUUUUAGGCUAUUUUUUUCAUUCUGGGUCAGAUAAAUUUCUCGAGACCCGAGCGCCGAGGCCCUCUGGGCUCUGAAGUUUGGAGCUGGGACCGAUGCUUCCAGCAUUUUAGCGAUAUUUUAUUUAGCAGUAUGUUUUUAUUUAUAUAGCGUACUGUACUGGUGUCCAAGCGUCGAGGAGCGGUGCUUCAGCGCUGGAGGUGCCUAGGCCUUGUUGCAGGCUGCUUCUUCUCAAACAAGCCUUUCUUAUAUGAAACUAAUACAACCGACGCAGUUUAAGAUUUGCAGAAGACCCACGCUGAGAGACAUGGCAGCAAUCCCGCUGAGCGGCUCACUCAUGGCCACGCACAACUACUACAGAAGGCGCGUGAGUUCAACAUCGAGCAACAGCUCCUGCGGCAGCUCGGACUACGCUGGGGAGGUCAUCCCGCACCCCCCGGGUAAGUGCCGUCCGGCGCC
Molecule: long non-coding RNA, 1030 nt
Filed under: Struthio camelus australis
Lineage: Eukaryota; Metazoa; Chordata; Aves; Struthioniformes; Struthionidae
Description: lncRNA (ENSSCUG00000002829.1)
Source: RNAcentral